Molecule: unclassified non-coding RNA, 2108 nt
Filed under: Leishmania donovani
Lineage: Eukaryota; Euglenozoa; Kinetoplastea; Trypanosomatida; Trypanosomatidae
Description: gene:LdHU3.35.6350(CDS-product:cyclophilin_40)
Source: RNAcentral
GAUUAUCAUCGAUUUACCACGCACACCACGCCCUCCUUCUUGAAGCACUGCACGAAGUACACACUCGCUUGCGUUCGAGCAGCUCUCCUGAGGAUAGGCAGACGCCGGGUGCAGCGGAAAAACAAGCCAAAAAGAAUAGAAAGGAAAGGAAGCGCGGCGUUACCCACAGUGGGACAGGGAAGGACGGAAGACCUCUGUACACCCGAUCAGAGCCCAGACAUUUCGCGGUUUGAACCACUAAACAUAACAGUGCGCCUUCUUUUAUCGUUUUUUUUUUUUCGUUUGCAUUACCUGUAGACCUACACGCACGCAGACAUCAUGCCGAACACGUACUGUUACUUGGACAUCACCAUUGGUGGGAAGCCGAAGAGGGAGCGGGUUGUGUUGGAGCUGUUCGCGGAUGUGACGCCCAAGACGUGCGAGAACUUCCGCCAGCUGUGCCUCGGAAACGAUGGCAAGAAGGUGGAGGGGACGGAGGUGCCCAUGACGUACCAGGGUUGCACUUUCCACCGUGUCAUCCCGGGCUUUAUGAUUCAGGGCGGCGACUUCACCAACCACAACGGCACCGGCGGCGUCUCUAUCUACGGCGAGAAGUUCGAAGAUGAGAACUUCACUAUUCCGUGCGACAAGAGCGGUCUGCUCGCCAUGGCCAACGCUGGCGCCAACACGAACGGUUCGCAGUUCUUUAUCACAACGGCGCCGGCGACACACCUGACGGGCCGCCACGUCGUUUUCGGUCGCGUGGUCCGUGGCAUGAAUACGGUGCGCGCAGUCGAGCAGACCCCCACCGGCGCUAACGAUAAGCCUGUGGCGGACUGCGUUAUCGCCGGCUGCGGCACGCUGGAUGCGCUGCCGGAGGAGGAGCCGGCUUCCGAUGGCGACAUGUACCCUGACUACCCAGAAGACGCUGAGUCUCCUAUGGUCGACGCCAAGCGCAUCGAGGCAGGCGAGUCGAUUCGCCAGAUUGGCAACUCCCACUUUAAGAAUGCCGCCUACGAUUCGGCCAUCGAAAAGUACGCGAAGGCAGUGCGCUACCUGAAUCAGGUGGAGAACAAGGAGGUUCACCCCGAGGUCGACGAGAAGCUGAUUGCCUGUUACAACAACCAUGCAAUGUGCGCCAUCAAGCUCCAACAGUGGUCGGAGGCUCGCCACACAGCGUCUCUUGCGCUCAGUGUGGAUGCGAAGAACGCCAAGGCGUUUUUCCGCCGAGGCACGGCAGCGCUGAAAGCUGGCGAUGCAGACGGUGCUGUCGAGGACUUGACGCAGGCUCAUCAGAUUGAGCCGGAGAACGCCGAGAUCACAGCAAAGCUGAGCGAGGCAAAGGAGAAGGUGAAGGCUCAAAAAGCGAAGCUGGCGGCCAAUCUAAAGAAGAUGUUCUCGUGAGGGUUGCGCCUGCCGGACAGAACGUGACGGGGCUGACAUAUGCGCCUGAACUGAGAGGAUCGCUUUUCGAGGAGUGCAUCGCAGAAGCCCCUCUCGUCUACAGGGCCAGCUUCGACGGCGCCACUAUUUUGCCCUUGUUCUCCUCCCUUUAUGUUUUCUUUUUGUACUUUUUUUUGUCUGGUGUUUAGGUAUUCGGCCCUCUAUUACGAUGAUACAUAUAUAUAUAUAUAUAUAUAUAUUUAUAUUCGCGCGUUGCCUGUCGCGUUUUUUCACACGGAGUUUUUUUUUGGUUAUGAUCUGAAAGACGAGAGACUGCUCUCGUUCUCUCCUCCUCUUUCUGUUUCUCAUCCUUUGCUUUUUUUUUUCUGCCUUGUGCGCCGUGUCUGUCACGAUGUCACGACGCCUGGUGCGUGGGAAUGGAUUUUGCGAGAAAGAAAAGCAACUGGUGGAUAAAACAGAGAGAGACGAAGAGUUCACUGGAAGAUAUAAUCCAAGCAGAAACAUGGAAAAAGGAAAAUCUGGGCAGGACAGGCCAUUGAUGGACUCGUCUGUUGAAAGGGAAAAAUGGCUAGGAGAGGGAGGGGAAGGGGGGCGGCGCACAUCGCUUUAAUUAUUACGGACUGACUGUUUUGUUCUCAACCUGGCAGCUCUCGGCAUAGAGGACAGUUGGGUUUACUACUGUGUUUGUGUGUACGUGCCGGCGCGUGCGUCUUUUUUUUAUUUUC